UUAGCAUAUCGGCGGUGGUGAGGAGCGGAUUCGCCGAAUUCGGAGAGGAUUCGCCGAAUUCGGAGACGUGAGUUGGUGAAUCUGUUUUGCUGAAAAAAGAAGGUGUGCAUCAGUGAUGGCCGUUUUAACGUGUUUUCGGCGAGCCUUUUGCAAUUUCCGACGAGUUACAGUUUCAUAGUUCAUUUUCUGUUCAGUUCUGAUUUUUUCGAUUUUGUUAUUUUGGACUGUUGUUAUUGGGUUGUUGAUGAAGAUUGUUGCAUUUGAAGAAAGUUGAGAAUGUUCUUUUUUGCUAUGAAUGAAUUUUUCUACUGUGUUCUUAGUAGUUUCCAGGUUGCUGUGAAUGACUUUUCUUAAUAUAAUUG
This 362-nucleotide long non-coding RNA is filed under the name Lathyrus oleraceus (garden pea). RNAcentral describes it as "Pisum sativum (pea) long non-coding RNA (PSAT_LNC021343)". Lineage: Eukaryota; Viridiplantae; Streptophyta; Magnoliopsida; Fabales; Fabaceae. The record is from RNAcentral.